RNAcentral lists this ribosomal RNA (531 nucleotides) under uncultured bacterium. Its description in RNAcentral is "bacterial SSU rRNA". It matches the Rfam family "Bacterial small subunit ribosomal RNA", at positions 777 to 1315 of the family's 1533-position model. The record is from RNAcentral.
AAUAGAUACCCCGGUAGUCCACGCCGUAAACGAUGGAUACUAGCUGUCCGGCGCAAGCGUGGGUGGCUAAGCGAAAGUGAUAAGUAUCCCACCUGGGGAGUACGUUCGCAAGAAUGAAACUCAAAGGAAUUGACGGGGGCCCGCACAAGCGGUGGAGCAUGUGGUUUAAUUCGAUGAUACGCGAGGAACCUUACCAGGGCUUAAAUGUAGUGGGACAGGUCCAGAGAUGGGCCCUUCUUCGGACUCAUUACAAGGUGCUGCAUGGUUGUCGUCAGCUCGUGCCGUGAGGUGUCAGGUUAAGUCCUAUAACGAGCGCAACCCCUGUCGUUAGUUGCCAGCGAGUGAAGUCGGGAACUCUAACGAGACUGCCGGUGCAAACCGUGAGGAAGGUGGGGAUGACGUCAAAUCAUCACGGCCCUUACGUCCUGGGCUACACACGUGCUACAAUGGCCGGUACAGAGAGCAGCCACGCCGCAAGGCGGAGCGAAUCUACAAAACCGGUCACAGUUCGGAUCGGGGUCUGCAACUCGA